RNAcentral lists this ribosomal RNA (247 nucleotides) under uncultured bacterium. RNAcentral's name for it is "partial 16S ribosomal RNA". It matches the Rfam family "Bacterial small subunit ribosomal RNA", at positions 102 to 334 of the family's 1533-position model. The record is from RNAcentral.
UUCUUUUUGCUGACGAGUGGCGACGGGUGAGUAAAGCUUGGAAUCUGUCUUAUGAGGGGAUAACUACGGGAAACUGUAGCUAAUACGCGUAACAUCUUAGGAUUAAAGUNUGGGCUCUUCGGACCACACGCCAUAAGUUGAGCCCAAGUGGGAUUAGGUAGUUGGUGGGGUAAAGGCCUACCAAGCUGACGAUCUCUAGCUGGUCUGAGAGGAUGACCAGCCACACUGGAACUGAGACACGGUCCAG